AAAUAUCCUUGUAAUGUACGUAGAUAAAAUUGAUCAGAUAAGAAGGAAAUCAGAGAGCAACCUUCCUGGAUUCAACACAAGAGAGCCUCAGUUCCUGUAGUGUAUUCGACAGCAGUCUAGCAUGGCUUCCCUCUGUGAGAUUCCACUAAGCUGCUGACUCAGACAGAAGCAGGCAUCAUCUAGUCAAACCACGGUGGAGCUUGGGGACUCUGAUGGAAGAAGAGAAUGAAAAGGAUUAUGGCCUCUAAGGAUAUAGGCACUCCACAGGCUUUGUCUUCAUGCAGGCUAUGGUGUUGUGAAGACAAGAUACCACAUGUGCAGCUGUGAAUAAGUCUGAGAAGGCUGACUUCUUGGAUUUCUGAAGCAUUACUAAGUGAUCCAGAGGAAAACAGCACGCCCUGCUCAGCAGAGCUCUGGGAAUACUGACACUCUUGCUUCAUGUUUAUAUUAACCUAGGUCAAAAGAUCACCUGUCAGGUAUGUUCUUGAAUAUUCUUCAGUGUGCUAGCAUUGGAUUGAAAUGAAAUACUCUUCAGGAGAGGUGGGGGAAACAACUGAACUCUUCCAUUAGAAUCAGAGAGAUGAGCUGUAUUGACCUUCAAUUGACUGUGUAUGCUUCUGGUCUUUGGCUUUGACUAUGCAGAUCUAUUGUCUCAUACAUCAUUGUUCAUGUGGCCAAGUUGCGGGGAAAGCGCGACACACAAUUCUUUCCCAUUUUCACAUCCUCCAUUCUAGGGUAAUAGAUUUUAGAAAAGCCCUUCCCAUUUUAUAUAGUAUACCAACUGACCUAACUUUUCUUCAAUAAGCUCUUCACUAUUAUCUGUAUACCGUGUUUGUGUUUGUGUUUGUUUGUAUGUGUGUGUGUGUGUGUGUGUGUGUGUGUGUGUGUGUGUUUCAGUUUGUGCGCUUAAAUGGUUAGUUUGUAUGCAAGUUUAGAGAAGGAUUCUAUGUAAGAAAUCUCUAAACUGUGGAUGGGGCAGCAUCCAAAUGUUCUCCCACAUCAUGACCUUCUAGAAAGAGUAGCAUAAUCUGCAAAAAAUAAUACAGUUGAAAGUAAAACUUGGAGGAAAUGCCCUGGGAUGGCUACAUUAUCACUGUUGACUGUGACGUUUUUCUCUUGGCUUCUGUGGCCAGACAUGAAGGCUCUGAAGCAAAGUUGCAUCCUGUUGAUCUGUGAAUAAGAUGAAGGAGGCUAUCAACUGGGUCACAUGAAUCAUAUGAAAAGCGUGACAGCAGCAGCUCUCUGCUCCCAGACCCCGUGAGAGAGAGACCCAACCGCCUGGUCAGGUGGGCACUCCUGAGGCUGCAGAGCAGAAGAGACCACCAGCACUGCUCACCCCUGCCCACAUCCCUGGCCCAAGAGGAAACUGUAUAAGGCCUCUGGGCUCCCGUGUAGGAGGGCCCAGGAGCAGCAGGACCCCUGCCUAAGACACCCCGGAACCUGAAGGAAACAGACCGGAUAAACAGUUCUCUGCACCCAAAUCCCGUGGGAGGGAGAGCUAAACCAUCAGAGUGGCAGACAAGCCUGGGAAAAAAGGAGAGACUGCUCUCUGCACACACAUCUUGGACGCCAGAGGAAAAAGCCAAAG
Non-coding RNA from Rattus norvegicus (Norway rat), 1588 nucleotides. The record is from RefSeq and is a predicted model, not a curated record. NCBI's taxonomy places the organism in Eukaryota, Metazoa, Chordata, Mammalia, Rodentia, Muridae.